UACGUAGGGUGCGAGCGUUACUCGGAAUUACUGGGCGUAAAGCGUGCGCAGGCGGUAAGUUAAGUCUGAUGUGAAAGCCCCGGGCUCAACCUGGGAACGGCAUUGGAAACUGGCUUGCUAGAGUGUGGCAGAGGGGGGUGGAAUUCCGCGUGUAGCAGUGAAAUGCGUAGAGAUGCGGAGGAACACCGAUGGCGAAGGCAGCCCCCUGGGCCAACACUGACGCUCAGGCACGAAAGCGUGGGGAGCAAACAGG
Molecule: ribosomal RNA, 253 nt
Filed under: uncultured bacterium
Lineage: Bacteria
Description: partial 16S ribosomal RNA
Rfam family: Bacterial small subunit ribosomal RNA
Source: RNAcentral